AUUGAACGCUGGCGGCAGGCCUAACACAUGCAAGUCGAACGGUAACAGAAAGCAGCUUGCUGCUUUGCUGACGAGUGGCGGACGGGUGAGUAAUGUCUGGGAAACUGCCUGAUGGAGGGGGAUAACUACUGGAAACGGUAGCUAAUACCGCAUAACGUCGCAAGACCAAAGAGGGGGACCUUCGGGCCUCUUGCCAUCGGAUGUGCCCAGAUGGGAUUAGCUAGGAGGUGGGGUAACGGCUCACCUAGGCGAGGGUCCCUAGCUGGUCUGAGAGGAUGACUCGCCACACUGGAACUGAGACACGGUCCAGACUCCUACGGGAGGCAGCAGUGGGGAAUAUUGCACAAUGGGCGCAAGCCUGAUGCAGCCAUGCCGCGUGUAUGAAGAAGGCCUUCGGGUUGUAAAGUACUUUCAGCGAGGAGGAAGGUGUUGUGGUUAAUAACCACAGCAAUUGACGUUACUCGCAGAAGAAGCACCGGCUAACUCCGUGCCAGCAGCCGCCGUAA
RNAcentral lists this ribosomal RNA (506 nucleotides) under uncultured bacterium. Its description in RNAcentral is "partial 16S ribosomal RNA". It matches the Rfam family "Bacterial small subunit ribosomal RNA", at positions 30 to 523 of the family's 1533-position model. The record is from RNAcentral.